RNAcentral lists this ribosomal RNA (457 nucleotides) under uncultured Luteolibacter sp. RNAcentral describes it as "bacterial SSU rRNA". It matches the Rfam family "Bacterial small subunit ribosomal RNA", at positions 342 to 791 of the family's 1533-position model. The record is from RNAcentral. Lineage: Bacteria; Pseudomonadati; Verrucomicrobiota; Verrucomicrobiia; Verrucomicrobiales; Verrucomicrobiaceae.
CGGGGGGCAGCAGUCGAGAAUAAUUCACAAUGGGGGCAACCCUGAUGGUGCAACGCCGCGUGGAGGAUGACGGUCUUCGGAUUGUAAACUCCUGUCAUCUGGGAGUAAGACCUGGUCGUUAAUAGCGGACAGGGUUGAUAGUACCAGAAGAGGAAGGGACGGCUAACUUCGUGCCAGCAGCCGCGGUAAUACGAAGGUCCCGAGCGUUGUUCGGAAUCACUGGGCGUAAAGGGAGCGUAGGCGGUGCGGUAAGUCAGAUGUGAAAUCCCGGGGCUCAACCCCGGAACUGCAUCCGAUACUGCCGUGCUAGAGGAUUGGAGAGGUAGCUGGAAUUCUUGGUGUAGCAGUGAAAUGCGUGGAUAUCAAGAGGAACACUCGUGGCGAAAGCGAGCUACUGGACAACUCCUGACGCUGAGGCUCGAAGGCCAGGGUAGCGAAAGGGAUUAGAUACCCCAGU